RNAcentral lists this ribosomal RNA (470 nucleotides) under uncultured bacterium. Its description in RNAcentral is "bacterial SSU rRNA". It matches the Rfam family "Bacterial small subunit ribosomal RNA", at positions 335 to 799 of the family's 1533-position model. The record is from RNAcentral.
ACUCCUACGGGAGGCAGCAGUGGGGAAUAUUGCACAAUGGGCGCAAGCCUGAUGCAGCCAUGCCGCGUGUAUGAAGAAGGCCUUCGGGUUGUAAAGUACUUUCAGCAGUGAGGAAGGCGGGUACGUUAAUAGCGUGCUCGUUUGACGUUAGCUGCAGAAGAAGCACCGGCUAACUCCGUGCCAGCAGCCGCGGUAAUACGGAGGGUGCGAGCGUUAAUCGGAAUUACUGGGCGUAAAGCGCAUGCAGGUGGUUUGUUAAGUCAGAUGUGAAAGCCCGGGGCUCAACCUCGGAAUUGCAUUUGAAACUGGCAGACUAGAGUACUGUAGAGGGGGGUAGAAUUUCAGGUGUAGCGGUGAAAUGCGUAGAGAUCUGAAGGAAUACCAGUGGCGAAGGCGGCCCCCUGGACAAGACUGACGCUCAGAUGCGAAAGCGUGGGAGCAAACAGGAUUAGAUACCCUGGUAGAUAGCG